CCCUGUACAAAAUACAACUCACUGCUCUGGGAGGGGGGAAGCUCAAAAUUAGUGCCCAUUCACAUAGUGAAUUAGUGUGAAUGAAUUUAGCAACUUCCUAGUAACAAAGGGGACUUUAUAUAACUUGAGAGCAGGUGUCUGGCAGGGGAGCUACUACAGAAAAUAGGGAAAACAGAAGGGCAAGGGGAGCCCUAAAUUUUUUUCCUAUAAACUUUUAUGACCACAAUUUAUCUAGAGGGAGAAGGCACAGAUAAGAAUGAGAAGUGGGAGUAGGAGGAGUGUGGAAAGCAGGGGGCACUCAGCUUGGCUUCUCAGAGGACUGGGUUAUCUAGGUCUCUAGUAGGGAAAAUGACCCUCUCACCACAUACAGAAGAAUCCAGGGAAGGGAAAGUCUAAGCUUAUCAUAAACUCCAACAAGAAGGAACCAGAAACUUCCAGUUUUGAAUCAUGUUGAACCAUCCUUCCAGCUCAUUCUUCAGCCCACGUGCUCCAGCCCUGCCAGCUAUGGACCCCAACUGUGACUGCUCAAAUGGUAAGGGACUCCUAGGUUCUCAGGUUGUCUUAGGGACCAGGAACCUGGGCUCUGCCCUGGCUUUGAUUUAAGCUAAAAGGGAAAGGCUUGGGAGGAAAGACGCUGCUGUUAGCAUGGAGAAAAUGGUUGGAUUGGCUCUAAAGUGGAGGAACUGAAAGCUUUUAUCCAUUUCUUAGAGGAAGCCCUAAAUAACAAAUGUACUGGACAGUGGGGACCCAGGUAUAGGAGCCAAUUGGAGAAGGGUUCUUUUGUUGAAGAAAAUGGCUGCUAGGCUCCCCGAGUUUUAGAGGGGGACGAUCAGGGUCCCAAGAUCUGGAAUCCGUGAUAAGCAGAGGAGCAGCCCGCUAAGUCCUUGGGUUUUACUGUAAGAUCUAAGGGUUGUAGCCUCCUUUUAGGGACCUGGAGGGGGGGGAGAUUGGGGAAUGAGAGGGAAAGGAUAAUCCCAUACUUUUGUUUUAUCCUGAAAUC
Molecule: long non-coding RNA, 1000 nt
Filed under: Phascolarctos cinereus (koala)
Lineage: Eukaryota; Metazoa; Chordata; Mammalia; Diprotodontia; Phascolarctidae
Description: lncRNA (ENSPCIG00000033213.1)
Source: RNAcentral